This 477-nucleotide ribosomal RNA is filed under the name uncultured bacterium. Its description in RNAcentral is "partial 16S ribosomal RNA". It matches the Rfam family "Bacterial small subunit ribosomal RNA", at positions 28 to 507 of the family's 1533-position model. The record is from RNAcentral.
GAUUAACGCUGGCGGCGUGCAUAACACAUGCAAGUCGAACGAUGAAACUUAACUGAUUUCUUCGGAAUGAUUUUAAGUGGGGUAGUGGCGGACGGGGGAGUAACGCGUGAGUACACUGCCUUGGAGAAGGGGAUAGACUUUGGAAACGAAGAAUAAUACCCUAUGAUAUGAUAAUAUCUCAUGAUAUUAUCAUCAAAGAUUUAUCGCUCUAAGAUGGACUUGCGUCUGAUUAGUUAGUUGGGGAGGUAACAGGUCACCAAGGCAGGGAUCAGUACCCGGCGUGAGAGAGGGUACGGCCCCCUUGGGACUGAGACACGGCCCGGACUCUUACGGGAGGCGGCAGUGGGGAAUUUUGACCAAUGGGGGAAACCCGGAUGCGGCGCCGCCGGGUGAUUUAGAAGGCCUUCGGGUUGUAAAAAUCUUUUGUAUGGGAAGAAAAUGACAGUACCAUACGAAUAAGCACCGGCUAAUUACGUG